Molecule: long non-coding RNA, 458 nt
Filed under: Arabidopsis thaliana (thale cress)
Lineage: Eukaryota; Viridiplantae; Streptophyta; Magnoliopsida; Brassicales; Brassicaceae
Description: long non-coding RNA (ATHA_LNC000699)
Source: RNAcentral
UAUUGCUGUGAUCUGUAUCGUCCUCAUCGCCGGCGUUACUGGUCAAGCUCCGACUUCACCACCAACCGCUACACCAGCUCCACCAACUCCAACAACUCCUCCACCAGCAGCAACUCCUCCUCCUGUCUCAGCACCACCACCAGUCACAACAUCUCCUCCUCCAGUCACCACUGCUCCUCCUCCAGCAAAUCCACCACCACCAGUCUCUUCUCCUCCUCCUGCUUCUCCUCCACCAGCUACUCCUCCUCCAGUCGCUUCUCCUCCUCCUCCCGUUGCUUCUCCUCCACCAGCAACUCCUCCUCCCGUCGCUACUCCUCCCCCAGCUCCUCUAGCUUCCCCUCCUGCUCAAGUUCCAGCUCCAGCACCGACCACGAAGCCAGAUUCUCCAUCUCCAUCUCCGUCAUCUAGCCCACCUCUUCCAUCAAGCGACGCUCCUGGACCUAGCACCGAUUCUAUCU